This 231-nucleotide unclassified non-coding RNA is filed under the name uncultured fungus. RNAcentral's name for it is "sequence contains ITS1". Lineage: Eukaryota; Fungi. The record is from RNAcentral.
UUUUUGAUUGAUGUUACUCGGACAACACCGAUAAAACAGAGUUUGGAGGGCCUUCGGCGGGCGCUCGCAGACCCGGGGCAAGCCCAGGGCCGACGCGGAGGAGAGACCCCCCCGGGGCCCGCCAAAGCAACAAAGGUAGGUACACACGGGGUGAAGAGUCGGGGCGGUUGGCCCCCGGGACACGAGGCCCCGUUCUCGGUAAUGAUCCUUCCGCAGGUUCACCUACGGAAA